AGCGAACGCUGGCGGCAGGCUUAACACAUGCAAGUCGAGCGGGCAUCCUUGUGGUUUCAGCGGCAGACGGGUGAGUAACGCGUGGGAACGUGCCCUUCGGUUCGGAAUAACUCAGGGAAACUUGAGCUAAUACCGGAUACGUGCGAGAGCAGAAAGGUUUAUCUGCCGAAGGAUCGGCCCGCGUCUGAUUAGCUAGUUGGUGAGGUUACGGCUCACCAAGGCGACGAUCAGUAGCUGGUCUGAGAGGAUGAUCAGCCACACUGGGACUGAGACACGGCCCAGACUCCUACGGGAAGCAGCAGUGGGGAAUAUUGGACAAUGGGGGCAACCCUGAUCCAGCCAUGCCGCGUGAGUGAUGACGGCCUUAGGGUUGUAAAGCUCUUUUCUCCGGGACGAUAAUGACGGUACCGGAGGAAUAAGCCCCGGCUAACUUCGUG
Molecule: ribosomal RNA, 437 nt
Filed under: uncultured bacterium
Lineage: Bacteria
Description: partial 16S ribosomal RNA
Rfam family: Bacterial small subunit ribosomal RNA
Source: RNAcentral